Molecule: unclassified non-coding RNA, 229 nt
Filed under: Hevea brasiliensis (rubber tree)
Lineage: Eukaryota; Viridiplantae; Streptophyta; Magnoliopsida; Malpighiales; Euphorbiaceae
Source: RNAcentral
UCAAGAAAAGGACUCUCUCCCGAACUUCCAAUAUGAAGAGAUUGUACUUUUAUAAAAGGCGUAAAAAUUAUUCUUAAUGAGGAGGUUCAAGAAAAGGAUUCUCUCAUGAACUUCCUUAUCUUAAAGUGACUAUGCAACGUUUCUCCUGGACUCUUUGUUAUUUCCCGAUCUAUAAAAUGACAUAAAUGCUAUAAAAUAAAAAUACACUAUUUCCUAACUCUAUAUUGUG